Metopolophium dirhodum (rose-grain aphid) is the source of this 863-nucleotide long non-coding RNA. RefSeq lists it as uncharacterized. The transcript has 3 exons. NCBI's taxonomy places the organism in Eukaryota, Metazoa, Arthropoda, Insecta, Hemiptera, Aphididae. The record is from RefSeq and is a predicted model, not a curated record.
UCGAUGCUCUCUCACACAGUCACGAAAUUACUGUGCAGCAAAGAAUCGCGAAACAACUUGUCACCGAACGUCUGCGUUUAUUUAAUUUCGUUCAUCAAAUAUAAAAAUUAAUUCAUUGCGAAAACACCGUUUGAUCAUUUUGGUCUAGUGAAUAGUGCGGUUUAUGCCAUGUUAUAUUGUGUUGCGUUUAUUAAAUUUCAUGUGAAAUGUCUGACCAUUUUGUUUUAAAUAUUUUAAACGAAUUGAAAGUUCCAGAUUUCCUUAUUGAAGAAUUCCAAAAACAUGGAAUUGAUGAGGAAGUCUUCAAAAAUUUAACUGAGUUAAUGGUAUGUGAACUGGUUCCGCAAAUAAGAUUCCGUUGCAAGAUAUUCAAAAAGAUUGAAUAGGUAGUGAAAAACUUACAAAUGUACGUAACUAUUAUACAACUAUACAACCAUCAUGACACAUGGCAAGCAACGUGUAACGACGUAGGGACGAUCCUUACCGUCCCAACCCUAACCAUUAGUUAUUUUUUUUAAGUAUAAUAAUAAUAACAACAACAACAAUAAUGCAACAGCUGAUAUACGUCACAUAAAAAUGUAUUAUGUAUGUAACUUCGGGUCAGAAUCUACAGGCUAAAUGGAAUUGCUGAAAUUAGUAUCUGUGGUAUUAUGUAUUAUUAUAUUUAUAUGUAUUUUAUGUCUACAUUUAUAUUUGGGACAACACAGUGCAAGUACCUUCUGUACAAUAAAAAGACAGUUUUUUAUUUUAUUAAAUGUACGCAGGAAAUAAGGAAGCUGCAGAAAGACUAGGGGAACACGGAGGAAUGACGAUCGCUUGAGGCAACAUUUUACUACGGCCACAAAUUGCGUUACAUUGAUUUA